UGAUGGAAGCUCUGUUGUGGAUGCAAUU
RNAcentral lists this non-coding RNA (28 nucleotides) under Mus musculus (house mouse). The record is from RNAcentral. Lineage: Eukaryota; Metazoa; Chordata; Mammalia; Rodentia; Muridae.